UUUUUUUUCCUUCUUCUUCGCCGCUCUCCUGAGUCUCCUCCUCCAUCACCGUGUUCAUAAGAACACACCACCAAAUCCAUCACUGUUUGUUUGAUUCAUUCAAUAAGUUAACAAGAAGUCUAUAAUAGUUAAAUUUAGACUGAGGAGUGAAUUGGGUACCCGAAAUCUCGAUCUAUUUGUUAUGAAUCUUCUGAUUCCUUAAUCAUUUGAUUAGCGUUACUUGGUCCUAUUAACAAUAAUGCCACCACAAGUGCUGCUGCCAUGGAAUAGAAGAUCAAGAUUCAAGAUUUUGUAUUUGUCAUUGCCACCACUGUCCAGUCAUUGCACCAGUGCAUUGUUUGUGUUGAUUAAGACAAUAAAACUUAAGAAUUAAGACUAUUGUAGUAUUGUUUGUGUUGGUCAGUGUGUGUGUUUGUGUGCUACUACUACUUGUUCUUUUUUCAGAUUUUCAGGACUUUGUUUGUUUGGCACUUUGAUUUGCUAGUAUUAUUGCUACUUGUUAGUUGUUACUUUGUUCUUUGAUUGAGAUA
Long non-coding RNA from Papaver somniferum (opium poppy), 530 nucleotides. RefSeq lists it as uncharacterized. The record is from RefSeq and is a predicted model, not a curated record. The transcript has 3 exons. NCBI's taxonomy places the organism in Eukaryota, Viridiplantae, Streptophyta, Magnoliopsida, Ranunculales, Papaveraceae.